Molecule: long non-coding RNA, 1073 nt
Organism: Nematostella vectensis (starlet sea anemone)
Lineage: Eukaryota; Metazoa; Cnidaria; Anthozoa; Actiniaria; Edwardsiidae
Exons: 2
Source: RefSeq, a predicted model, not a curated record
GAUUUGCUCUUCUAACUCGCGGCCGACACGGUGAAUAGAUAAAGUUUUUGCAUUUUUUUCGUCGUGGCUAAAGCCAAGAAAGAAAUUCGACAUAUCUUAACACUUUUAUAAUAAAAAGACGUACAAACGAUGGAUGGAAGGACAAAGGAUGGGUUUGGAAAAAGAAGGCGAAUCCCAACUCAAGCAAGCUGCCAGCUUUAAAGACAUGAUGCUAGGGCAGGAUGUAUUCAUUAAUACAGCUAAGUAACAAAAAGAUAGAUAAUGGUUACAAAUGAAAACUUGUAAAAAAAAAAUGAACCAGGCUAAUAAAAUAAACUAAAAGUAGUCAGAAACUUUGAAAACAAGUUAGAGUGGUUUAUUUCAUUCACCCUUUGACAAAGUGGCUGGUACAAAACACUGACCAAACAUUGGCCCUUAUUGCAAAUGGACUGAAUGGGUUUUCUAGUAAAAAAAAUAAAUAAAAUAAGCUGAUAUGAAUAUAGCUCGAUACUUAGGAAUCUGAGAUGAUAUUUGCAAAAAUCAACAGCAAUGUACCAUUUGACCUUUCAUGCAAUUAUUUCAAAGAAAAUUUAGCACUGUACAUGGAAGUGAUGUGAAAUGAAAAUAUAGCUACCUUUUUUUUAACAAACCGCAUCUUUCUGUAAUGCCAAGCCCUAUUUUAUGUUUUAACACAAAAAUACCAGGUGUACAUACCCUUGAAACCAUGAUGCCUCAAUAUGAGGGUCUAGUCGGUCCAUGGACCUCCUCAUUGAGGGUCAGUGCUUUGUACGAUCCACCCAAGACAAAGUAUCAAUUCAUAGAGUAUUAGCUAAAAAAAAACAGUAAAGAAGGUUGAUAAAACUGUUUAUUUCUACCAAAUAACUUAUUACCCCUCAACUGAGAGAAAAUUAUAAAAAUCAAGAAAAUCUUGUAGUAGUGCAAUGUGAAACGAAGAAAGGGAAUUUGGACAGUGUAGGCAAGUAUGGAGCACAUUUACUGGCAAAAACGAUAUGCUAAUGUAUAGAAACGCAUUGUGUGCUGAUAUGGUUUUAAAUGUUAAAGAGAAUAAAAAAGCACCCAUUUUACUGUAAAAA